This 57-nucleotide transfer RNA is filed under the name Formica rufa. RNAcentral describes it as "tRNA-Glu". Lineage: Eukaryota; Metazoa; Arthropoda; Insecta; Hymenoptera; Formicidae. The record is from RNAcentral.
AUUUAUAUAGUUUAAAAUAAAACAUUAUAUUUUCAUUAUAAAAAUAAUAUAUAGAUA